RNAcentral lists this transfer RNA (72 nucleotides) under Photobacterium phosphoreum. RNAcentral's name for it is "tRNA-Asp". It matches the Rfam family "tRNA". Rfam says of the family: Transfer RNA (tRNA) molecules are approximately 80 nucleotides in length. Their secondary structure includes four short double-helical elements and three loops (D, anti-codon, and T loops). Lineage: Bacteria; Pseudomonadati; Pseudomonadota; Gammaproteobacteria; Vibrionales; Vibrionaceae. The record is from RNAcentral. RNAcentral also lists the same sequence under 6 other names.
GGUAGUUCAGUUGGUUAGAAUACCGGCCUGUCACGCCGGGGGUCGCGGGUUCGAGUCCCGUCCACUCCGCCA